Molecule: non-coding RNA, 154 nt
Filed under: Peptoclostridium acidaminophilum
Lineage: Bacteria; Bacillati; Bacillota; Clostridia; Peptostreptococcales; Peptoclostridiaceae
Also listed under: 1 other name
Description: GlcN6P sequence
Rfam family: glmS glucosamine-6-phosphate activated ribozyme aptamer
About the family: This entry contains a glucosamine-6-phosphate activated ribozyme that is found in the mRNA for GlmS. GlmS is an enzyme that uses fructose-6-phosphate and glutamine to generate glucosamine-6-phosphate.
Source: RNAcentral
UUAGGCUGCAUAGCGCCUGGACUCGGCUUUGCUGAGUUGACGAGGAUCGGGAUUAUCGAAAUAUCGGCGGAUGUCCCGGCGGCUUUUCACGGCCGAAAAAGGUCUGGCAAAUCUCCUGAGUGAUCGGGAGGACAAGAAGGAUCGGGUGAAGCUG